CCUACGGGAGACUGCAGUGAGGAAUAUUGGUCAAUGGACGAGAGUCUGAACCAGCCAAGCAGCGUGAAGGAAGACUGCCCUAUGGGUUGUAAACUUCUUUUAUAAAGGAAUAAAACGAGGCACGUGUGCCUUUCUGCAUGUACUUUACGAAUAAGGAUCGGCUAACUCCGUGCCAGCAGCCGCGGUAAUACGGAGGAUCCGAGCGUUAUCCGGAUUUAUUGGGUUUAAAGGGUGCGUAGAUGGGUUGUUAAGUCAGUUGUGAAAGUUUGCGGCUCAACCGUAAAAUUGCAAUUGAUACUGGCAGUCUUGAGUGCAGUUGAGGUAGGCGGAAUUCGUGGUGUAGCGGUGAAAUGCUUAGAUAUCACGAAGAACCCCGAUUGCGAAGGCAGCUUACUAAACUGUAACUGACAUUGAUGCUCGAAAGUGUGGGUAUCAAACAGGAUUAGAUACCCCGGUAGUC
RNAcentral lists this ribosomal RNA (460 nucleotides) under uncultured bacterium. Its description in RNAcentral is "partial 16S ribosomal RNA". It matches the Rfam family "Bacterial small subunit ribosomal RNA", at positions 338 to 795 of the family's 1533-position model. The record is from RNAcentral.